CUCUGCUGCUCACGGCGUAUGCGUUCAAGGAGCUUCUUGCCAUGUUCUUCGGCAAUGCAGGGGCUUUGCUGCCACUGCUGGAUGCGCUGUGGGAGGAUCUCAUAGAUUCGGCUGCAGGGAGACAGCGAGGACGCUCCUGCUACUCACGAGGCCAUGAUCAUCAAAGGCUCCAGCACAGAAGUCCUGGUACAGGUCAGGGUCCAAUGCCAGGUCCUCAUCUGAGAGUGGCUCCGGUGUUGCUGUAGCCUCUGGCAGCUCCUUAACCACGGAUGACAACACUGUCCCCUCAUCUUCCCGGAUACGUCCUAGCUUCUGGGAUGGCUGUGGCUGCUGUUGAGUGGGUGGUGGCCGGCGGGGCCUUGGCAGGGCCUCUGAGGGCGUCACCGGCGAGAGCUGCGGGGCAGAAUCUCAGGACUGGCCCUGACCGCCCUGCCCGCAUGCCCUGCCCCGCCCUGGGGGGCUGGACUCACCGAGGAAGGGAAGUACUUGUACGAUUCCUGUGCGCAGGAGGAAGGCCUAGGUCAGCCCCAGGAAAAUGAAGGGUCACCCUGUCCUAUCCCCAACUACGCAUCCUUGCCUGGUCUCACCAAAUGUCGUUUUAUCCCUCCCCUCACCUCAGAGAUAUGCUCAGUCCUACCUGUUGUGCCCUGGCAUGCCUGACCACCUAAAAUAAAUGUCCCUGCCAGCUA
Long non-coding RNA from Mesocricetus auratus (golden hamster), 689 nucleotides. RefSeq lists it as uncharacterized. NCBI's taxonomy places the organism in Eukaryota, Metazoa, Chordata, Mammalia, Rodentia, Cricetidae. The record is from RefSeq and is a predicted model, not a curated record. The transcript has 2 exons.